CGUAAGACAAUGAGGAGGAUGAGACAACCAGUUCGGCGCAAGGGAGUCGUCGUGGCAUGCCUUCGCGAUCCAAUCUGCUGCCCGGUUCAUUUCUCGCGGAUUGAAGCCCACGGACACUGCAGGAAGUACUUUAGUUGGUCUCCCCUGUUCGUUGAACUGAAGGGCACUCGUGCGCAUCUUCUCCACGAAGUGCAGCCCUUCCUUUAGAGCUAGGGUUUCUGCUACCAGGGCAGAUUGAGUGAGGAUUUUCUUGGCGAAUCCACCCACAAGACACCAGUGAUGGUCUCUGCAAAUCCAAGCAACCGCACCCUGUUUUGAGGCGCAACUCCAAGACCCAUCCACGUUCAAUUUCAGCUCGCCUUUUGUUGGUGGGACAUAAUAGGAGGAGAUGUUCGAGAGUUUCUGGGGCUUCGUGGCAAAUGGGACAAAGUGGAUCAGGUAACAUUUUCCUCCUGUAGAGAUUUUCUCUUGUCGGCAACGCAUUAUUACAGACGCUCCAUAGGAAAAAUUUCACUUUUGGGUAGUGUGGGGUUUGCCAAAUUGUUGUCCAUAGACCUCGGGGUGGCUGAUAUGACGAUGAUGGUUGGUUUUCUUUCAGCUGUUUUUUCUGGGAGCAUAUUUUGUUGUAGCCACUUUUGACCGAAU
Molecule: long non-coding RNA, 645 nt
Organism: Eucalyptus grandis
Lineage: Eukaryota; Viridiplantae; Streptophyta; Magnoliopsida; Myrtales; Myrtaceae
Exons: 3
Source: RefSeq, a predicted model, not a curated record